RNAcentral lists this ribosomal RNA (280 nucleotides) under Triticum aestivum (bread wheat). Its description in RNAcentral is "partial small subunit ribosomal RNA". The record is from RNAcentral. Lineage: Eukaryota; Viridiplantae; Streptophyta; Magnoliopsida; Poales; Poaceae.
GGAGCUAACAAUACGAAGCUAUGUAGAGAAAAAAACUGAAACUGUGAUAGUUCCUGCUAUGGGAGCCAGUUUCGAUACGCUGGGGGAAGCUUACGACUACUACAAUCUAUAUUCAUGGGAGGUUGGGUUCGGAGUGAGAUACGGUAAGAGCCAUCUAAAUGUUGAGAGAACAAAAUGCAUGCAGGAGAUAGUUUGCACACACAAAAUGCAUGCAGGAUACGGUAAAAGAAAUUGUUCCAGCAAUUGCACACACAAGCGGGAAUGUUAGUGAUGCAGAAGG